Molecule: ribosomal RNA, 872 nt
Filed under: Enterococcus faecium
Lineage: Bacteria; Bacillati; Bacillota; Bacilli; Lactobacillales; Enterococcaceae
Description: bacterial SSU rRNA
Rfam family: Bacterial small subunit ribosomal RNA
Source: RNAcentral
ACGAACGCUGGCGGCGUGCCUAAUACAUGCAAGUCGUACGCUUCUUUUUCCACCGGAGCUUGCUCCACCGGAAAAAGAAGAGUGGCGAACGGGUGAGUAACACGUGGGUAACCUGCCCAUCAGAAGGGGAUAACACUUGGAAACAGGUGCUAAUACCGUAUAACAAUCGAAACCGCAUGGUUUUGAUUUGAAAGGCGCUUUCGGGUGUCGCUGAUGGAUGGACCCGCGGUGCAUUAGCUAGUUGGUGAGGUAACGGCUCACCAAGGCCACGAUGCAUAGCCGACCUGAGAGGGUGAUCGGCCACAUUGGGACUGAGACACGGCCCAAACUCCUACGGGAGGCAGCAGUAGGGAAUCUUCGGCAAUGGACGAAAGUCUGACCGAGCAACGCCGCGUGAGUGAAGAAGGUUUUCGGAUCGUAAAACUCUGUUGUUAGAGAAGAACAAGGAUGAGAGUAACUGUUCAUCCCUUGACGGUAUCUAACCAGAAAGCCACGGCUAACUACGUGCCAGCAGCCGCGGUAAUACGUAGGUGGCAAGCGUUGUCCGGAUUUAUUGGGCGUAAAGCGAGCGCAGGCGGUUUCUUAAGUCUGAUGUGAAAGCCCCCGGCUCAACCGGGGAGGGUCAUUGGAAACUGGGAGACUUGAGUGCAGAAGAGGAGAGUGGAAUUCCAUGUGUAGCGGUGAAAUGCGUAGAUAUAUGGAGGAACACCAGUGGCGAAGGCGGCUCUCUGGUCUGUAACUGACGCUGAGGCUCGAAAGCGUGGGGAGCAAACAGGAUUAGAUACCCUGGUAGUCCACGCCGUAAACGAUGAGUGCUAAGUGUUGGAGGGUUUCCGCCCUUCAGUGCUGCAGCUAACGCAUAAGCACUCCGC